UCCUUGGUGGUUCAGUGGUUAGGACUCAGUGCUGUCACUGCUGUGGCCCAGGUUUGAUCCUGGACAGGGAA
Molecule: non-coding RNA, 71 nt
Organism: Bos taurus (domestic cattle)
Lineage: Eukaryota; Metazoa; Chordata; Mammalia; Artiodactyla; Bovidae
Source: Rfam